This 1525-nucleotide ribosomal RNA is filed under the name Acidimicrobiia bacterium. RNAcentral describes it as "bacterial SSU rRNA". It matches the Rfam family "Bacterial small subunit ribosomal RNA". The record is from RNAcentral. Lineage: Bacteria; Bacillati; Actinomycetota; Acidimicrobiia.
AUUGACGGAGAGUUUGAUCCUGGCUCAGGACGAACGCUGGCGGCGUGCCUAACACAUGCAAGUCGAACGAGGUCGCCUUCGGGCAAUGACCAAGUGGCGAACGGGUGCGUAACACGUGAGAAACCUGCCCCGAAGACUGGGACAACCACGGGAAACUGUGGCUAAUACCAGAUGCCCUCCGCUGAUCGCAUGAUCGGCAGAGGAAAUGCUCCGGCGCUUCGGGAGGGUCUCGCGGCCUAUCAGCUUGUUGGUGAGGUAACGGCUCACCAAGGCAUCGACGGGUAGCUGGUCUGAGAGGACGAUCAGCCACACUGGGACUGAGACACGGCCCAGACUCCUGCGGGAGGCAGCAGUGGGGAAUCUUGCGCAAUGGGCGAAAGCCUGACGCAGCAACGCCGCGUGGGGGAUGAAGGCUCUCGGGUUGUAAACCCCUUUCAGCAGGGACGAAAUUGACGGUACCUGCAGAAGAAGCCCCGGCCAACUACGUGCCAGCAGCCGCGGUGACACGUAGGGGGCGAGCGUUGUCCGGAAUUAUUGGGCGUAAAGAGCUCGUAGGCGGUUUAGUAAGUCAGAUGUGAAAGGUUGGGGCUCAACCCUAAGACUGCAUCCGAUACUGCUAUGACUAGAGUCCGGUAGAGGAGUGUGGAAUUCCUGGUGUAGCGGUGAAAUGCGCAGAUAUCAGGAGGAACACCGACGGCGAAGGCAGCACUCUGGGCCGGUACUGACGCUCAGGAGCGAAAGCGUGGGUAGCAAACAGGAUUAGAUACCCUGGUAGUCCACGCCGUAAACGUUGGGCACUAGGUGUGGGGCCUUAUCAACGGGUUCCGUGCCGUAGCUAACGCAUUAAGUGCCCCGCCUGGGGAGUACGGCCGCAAGGCUAAAACUCAAAGGAAUUGACGGGGGCCCGCACAAGCGGCGGAGCAUGUUGCUUAAUUCGAGGCAACGCGAAGAACCUUACCUGGGUUUGACAUGUUGGGGACAGCCGCAGAGAUGCGGCCUCCUUAUGGUCCCAUCACAGGUGGUGCAUGGCUGUCGUCAGCUCGUGUCGUGAGAUGUUGGGUUAAGUCCCGCAACGAGCGCAACCCUCGUCCUAUGUUGCCAGCACGUAAUGGUGGGGACUCGUAGGAGACCGCCGGGGUCAACUCGGAGGAAGGUGGGGACGACGUCAAGUCAUCAUGCCCCUUAUGCCCAGGGCUGCAAACAUGCUACAAUGGCCGGUACAAAGGGCUGCUACACCGCGAGGUUGAGCGAAUCCCACAAAGCCGGUCUCAGUUCGGAUUGGAGUCUGCAACUCGACUCCAUGAAGUCGGAGUCGCUAGUAAUCCCGGAUCAGCAACGCCGGGGUGAAUACGUUCCCGGGCCUUGUACACACCGCCCGUCACACCACGAAAGUCGGCAACACCCGAAGUCAGUGGCCUAACCCUUAGGGGAGGGAGCUGCCGAAGGUGGGGUUGGCGAUUGGGGUGAAGUCGUAACAAGGUAGCCGUACCGGAAGGUGCGGCUGGAUCACCUCCUUUCUAAGGAG